AUUGAGCGAGUAUUUACUAUAAUGGAGCAGCUUCAAAAGGAUCGGAAGCAGACAACCAGACCUACUGAAACUCAAGUUCUGCUGAGCAUUCUUGGGGAUAAAAGUAAACUCUCUUUAGCUGCAGAGCUUGUUAGUGAGCUAUGGAGUGCCAAGUUGAAGGCAGAAUAUGUCGUGAGUACCAGGUUUAGUAAGCACAUCGAUCGUGCAAAAGAGUCGAGAAUUCCAUGGAUGAUACUUGUAGGUGAUAAGGAGCUAGAGAAAGGGAUUGUAAAAAUGAAGAACCUUGAGACCACAGUCGAAGAAGACGUCCCUAGAAGUACAUUUGUUGAAGAACUUAAGAGACGGCUGAACCUGUGAAACUCUCAUCUGAUUGACACAGAAAUCUGAACCAUUGUUUUGUUCAAGUCUUCACAGCCCGUCCUCUGCCAUGUAAGAGAAGCUUUACAGAAGAAUUUAUAAUUUUAAUGGCUGUAUUGGGCAAAUUUGGUAUUGAUUCCGAAAUCCCAGAAAGUAUAUUUUCUAAGUUUUUCAUGGAAGGUUCUUUUUUUUUUUUUUUGUUUUUUUGAAAGC
This 570-nucleotide unclassified non-coding RNA is filed under the name Hevea brasiliensis (rubber tree). Lineage: Eukaryota; Viridiplantae; Streptophyta; Magnoliopsida; Malpighiales; Euphorbiaceae. The record is from RNAcentral.